UCUCCGUAGGUGAACCUGCGGAGGGAUCAUUACUGAGUGAGGGCCCUCGUGGUCCGACCUCCAACCCAUUGUUGUCCGACUCUGUUGCCUCGGGGGCGACCCUGCCGUUCGCGGCGUGGGGCCCCCGGAGCCCAUCAAACCCUGCGUAACUAAGUCGUCGGAGUUUAAACAAAUUAAACAAAACUUUCAACAACGGAUCUCUUGGUUCGGGCAUCGAUGAAGAACGCAGC
RNAcentral lists this unclassified non-coding RNA (230 nucleotides) under uncultured fungus. RNAcentral's name for it is "sequence contains ITS1, 5.8S rRNA gene". The stretch from base 182 to 230 matches the Rfam family "5.8S ribosomal RNA", at positions 1 to 49 of the family's 154-position model. Lineage: Eukaryota; Fungi. The record is from RNAcentral.